RNAcentral lists this ribosomal RNA (478 nucleotides) under uncultured bacterium. RNAcentral's name for it is "partial 16S ribosomal RNA". It matches the Rfam family "Bacterial small subunit ribosomal RNA", at positions 28 to 523 of the family's 1533-position model. The record is from RNAcentral.
GACGAACGCUGGCGGCGUGCUUAACACAUGCAAGUCGAACGGUAAGGCCCUUCGGGGUACACGAGUGGCGAACGGGUGAGUAACACGUGGGUGAUCUGCCCUGCACUUCGGGAUAAGCCUGGGAAACUGGGUCUAAUACCGGAUAGGACCACUGCCUGCAUGGGUGGUGGUGGAAAGCUCUUGCGGUGUGGGAUGGGGCCGCGGCCUAUCAGCUUGUUGGUGGGGUGAUGGCCUACCAAGGCGACGACGGGUAGGCGGGCUGGGAGGGGGACCGGCCACACUGGGACUGAGAUACGGCCCAGACUCCUACGGGAGGCAGCAGUGGGGAAUAUUGCACAAUGGGCGCAAGCCUGAUGCAGCGACGCCGCGUGAGGGAUGACGGCCUUCGGGUUGUAAACCUCUUUCAGCACCGACGAAGCGCAAGUGACGGUAGGUGCAGAAGAAGGACCGGCCAACUACGUGCCAGCCGCCGCCGUAA